AAGUCGAGCGCAGGAAGCAAGUUGAUCCCCUUCGGGGGUGACGCUUGUGGAAUGAGCGGCGGACGGGUGAGUAACACGUGGGCAACCUGCCUGUAAGACUGGGAUAACCCCGGGAAACCGGGGCUAAUACCGGAUAAUACUUUCUUUUGCAUAAAGGAAAGUUGAAAGGCGGCUUCGGCUGUCACUUACAGAUGGGCCCGCGGCGCAUUAGCUAGUUGGUGAGGUAACGGCUCACCAAGGCGACGAUGCGUAGCCGACCUGAGAGGGUGAUCGGCCACACUGGGACUGAGACACGGCCCAGACUCCUACGGGAGGCAGCAGUAGGGAAUCUUCCGCAAUGGACGAAAGUCUGACGGAGCAACGCCGCGUGAGUGAUGAAGGUUUUCGGAUCGUAAAACUCUGUUGUUAGGGAAGAACAAGUUGGGUAGUAACUGACCCAACCUUGACGGUACCUAACCAGAAAGCCACGGCUAACUACGUGCCAGCAGCCGCGGUAAUACGUAGGUGGCAAGCGUUGUCCGGAAUUAUUGGGCGUAAAGCGCUCGCAGGCGGUCCUUUAAGUCUGAUGUGAAAUCUCGCGGCUCAACCGCGAACGGUCAUUGGAAACUGGAGGACUUGAGUACAGAAGAGGAGAGUGGAAUUCCACGUGUAGCGGUGAAAUGCGUAGAGAUGUGGAGGAACACCAGUGGCGAAGGCGACUCUCUGGUCUGUAACUGACGCUGAGGAGCGAAAGCGUGGGGAGCGAACAGGAUUAGAUACCCUGGUAGUCCACGCCGUAAACGAUGAGUGCUAGGUGUUAGGGGGUUUCCGCCCCUUAGUGCUGAAGUUAACGCAUUAAGCACUCCGCCUGGGGAGUACGGCCGC
Molecule: ribosomal RNA, 864 nt
Filed under: Oceanobacillus sp.
Lineage: Bacteria; Bacillati; Bacillota; Bacilli; Caryophanales; Bacillaceae
Description: bacterial SSU rRNA
Rfam family: Bacterial small subunit ribosomal RNA
Source: RNAcentral